UCACUGGAAGUUGAAAAAUACAUCAGAUGCCAACAAAUAUUAAAGGUAAUAUUGCGUUAAAGACGAUGGGGAACAAAGAUGCGGUGCAGUACGUGCCCAGGAAAAGGAGAUCCCCGAUCCAGGGACUGAGACGCUGUUAAAGAGGUUGAAAAUGAACAACUAACGCUGUGACCAAUGUCUCUGGGAACACUUGAUGGAACGAUCUUCAAGAUCUGGAUGCCUACAGAAGGAACAUAAUUUUUUCAGUUUCUUAUGAGCCACUGAGCUACUCCAUGCCACCAAGGAGACCAACCCCUGACUUUGACACCAUCGACAAAGCAAUUAAUUCUUCCGUCAGAUCCUAAAUUACUGGAAGAGAAGACCCUUAUCCUGAUCUGCUGGCACCAGUUCUGCUUCUUUAGGGUACUGAGAAAGCUUCCUGCCUCCUCCGCUGGCUGCGUUCGCAGAAUGAACCCCAACAUGGUAAAAUGAAGCAAGUUUCUCCCACACAACUGCAAGUGCAGAAGUCUCAUCCCCAACCUGCUUGGAGGUGCAACCAGACAUACAACAAAAGCAGCAAUUGGUACCAUCACCAUUGCACAGCGGUCACAGAGCAGCGUCUAACAGGUCCCUUCACCACCACCUCCGUCACGCUGCCAAGGAGGACUCGUGUCCACGACAGGAACGUCUGUCCCAUGGACCUUAGCUGAAACCCUCAGAUUACUUUUGCAGGAAUCUGACAGCUUCGUGCAGCUCUGAAACCAGCAGUUACCAAUGGGUUUAUCAAUGGAAAACAGCGUUUCAACGAUGAGGUCUCAAAAUGGUUUGAAGAGAAGCCGUGCCCACGCUUGCCUCUCCUGAAAUGAUGGGACCAAGGUGGUGGGCAGUUUCUAACAUAAAGAAAUGCUCCUUGUCCGGUGAGAGCUGCUGGCAGGGGUGCAGGAGAAGGCAUCUGGUUUGACCAAGACAAACUCCCAGCUGAAAAAAGUGCUUUUACGGCCAGCUCACCUGGGUCGUUGAGCGGUGUCAGCCUCCCAUGGAGUCAAUGGACUUCGAAUGUUCGCAGCCCUUCCUGGCUAUACUCAGCGUGCAAGAUCAGACACCACGUGGAGCAACUUCAAACUCAAUGGAAAACGAGUAACUGAUGCAAAGCCACUUUGAUGGACUCUGUUCUGGUUUUUAUAGCUUGUGUGUAAAACAAGCGGAUUAACCCAGUUGCCCUGUGGUUGUUCCCUUUCCGUGCAGAUAAAACCAAAGCAAAAUCUUGUUAUAUUUUUAAGUAAAGGAUUUUUAGCCGCAGGUUCAAAUAUAUGUAACUAGUAUUUACAGGCUUGAACUCUGUGAAGCCCGCUUGGAUUUCCUCAUCGUUUUGUGGGGUAGCGAUACACAAAAUGCCUCGAUAUCUGUUGCAAUUAAUGCUCUGGAGGAACCGGUUAAUGGUUGUGAAAUUACGGCACGUUUGAAGGUUCUGACAUAGCAGAUAAUUUCCCCUUACUUCCCAUGCCCCGACAGACACAAGAUCUAGACUUGCUGACACUCUGCAAGAAAAGCUCUCCUUUACGAGGAGUCCCAGCCCUGGCCCGCAGAGCCGAGACAUUGCGAUGGUGGGGAUAAGCUUCAAUAACCUCUCUGGCCACGGCCAGCUUAUCUAAAUGAAAAGCCAAAGUUACAAACCCUUUGGAGGCUUUCCCAUCGCUUACCACAAAAGCCCAGGAAAAAAGAAAAUGAAAGGUUUCCGUUUUCAAUUUAAAGAGGGUGCAGGUAUUUCAGUUCCAAACAAAUUAGAUGGUAGAUUAUUAAAAAAUGCUUCAGUGUCCAAAAAUGGCAUAGUGCAAAACUCCACAUUUUAUUCCAAGUAAACAAAAACAAUCAACCCCUUCCUGGUAGAAAACGGUGGAAAUAGCAGUAAAGACGUUAAUUCUCAGAUCCCCGUUUUCCCUGGAGAUGCUCACCAGUUUCCUUGUCCACCGCGAGCCCACAGCAGCGGCCCAGGGGAGAGCUGUGUGCCCGGGUUGCGGCUGGCUUGGGGGGGGACCGAACGCUGUUGUUAUACACGAUGCCGCUCGAUUUAGCAAUGCGUAACGCUGGAUCCAACGCCCACGGGACUCGAUGUGGGCUCUGACGGACAUCAGUGUGCCCUGCAGCCUCGCCAGCGGCCGUGCCGCUGCGGCAUCCACGGAAGGUACCGGCACGUGGCGGGGGGAGCCACCCUGGGUGCACACAGAUUGUACCAGGAAAAUAAUUACAAGAGUAUGUUUUUAAUGGGAAUCAAAGUUAUGUUCUUUGCAGACGCGUCUGGGGCAUAAAUUGAAAAAUCAAACACCCAGGAAGUUUGUUAUAUCCCUGCUGAAAGUCUCCAGGCUUAAUUUAGUCAACAUUCUGAAUUAAUUUUCCUAUUAAAUGGAUGCUUGCUAAAAAAGUAGGGGGAAAUUUUUUUCACUGAUAAGAUUGUUCUGUGAACCGUUCCUAAUGAGCUGCUGUGUCAUUCCCUUAUGCUUUCUAUUUGUCUUGUUUAGAUCACUUCAGUUCGAAGUA
Molecule: long non-coding RNA, 2514 nt
Organism: Grus americana (Whooping crane)
Lineage: Eukaryota; Metazoa; Chordata; Aves; Gruiformes; Gruidae
Exons: 4
Source: RefSeq, a predicted model, not a curated record